UAUGUGGUAGGACUUAAUCAUCGGGUA
Molecule: small RNA, 27 nt
Filed under: Bombyx mori (domestic silkworm)
Lineage: Eukaryota; Metazoa; Arthropoda; Insecta; Lepidoptera; Bombycidae
Description: ovarian small RNA-24041
Source: RNAcentral